UACGGGGGGGGCAAGCGUUGUUCGGAAUUACUGGGCGUAAAGGGCUCGUAGGUGGCCAACUAAGUCAGACGUGAAAUCCCUCGGCUUAACCGGGGAACUGCGUCUGAUACUGGAUGGCUUGAGUUUGGGAGAGGGACGCGGAAUUCCAGGUGUAGCGGUGAAAUGCGUAGAUAUCUGGAGGAACACCGGUGGCGAAGGCGGCGUCCUGGACCAACACUGACACUGAUGAGCUAAAGCCAGGGGAGCAAACGGG
This 253-nucleotide ribosomal RNA is filed under the name uncultured bacterium. RNAcentral describes it as "partial 16S ribosomal RNA". It matches the Rfam family "Bacterial small subunit ribosomal RNA", at positions 524 to 776 of the family's 1533-position model. The record is from RNAcentral.